RNAcentral lists this ribosomal RNA (253 nucleotides) under uncultured bacterium. Its description in RNAcentral is "partial 16S ribosomal RNA". It matches the Rfam family "Bacterial small subunit ribosomal RNA", at positions 524 to 776 of the family's 1533-position model. The record is from RNAcentral.
UACGUAGGGGGCAAGCGUUGUCCGGAUUUAUUGGGCGUAAAGAGCGUGUAGGCGGCUUGGUAGGUCCGCUGUGAAAACUCGAGGCUCAACCUCGAGAUGUCGGCGGAAACCACUUGGCUAGAGUCCGGAAGAGGAGAGUGGAAUUCCUGGUGUAGCGGUGAAAUGCGCAGAUAUCAGGAAGAACACCUAUGGCGAAGGCAGCUCUCUGGGACGGUACUAACGCUGAGACGCGAAAGCGUGGGGAGCGAACAGG